Molecule: long non-coding RNA, 271 nt
Filed under: Carica papaya (papaya)
Lineage: Eukaryota; Viridiplantae; Streptophyta; Magnoliopsida; Brassicales; Caricaceae
Description: long non-coding RNA (CPAP_LNC010830)
Source: RNAcentral
CGUGGUCUCUCAUUUCGGACGGAGUAUGGAGACUUUAUGUGUUUUGGCGCCCAUACCGGACGGGGUAUGGGGACGGCCUGUUUCACCCUCAUACCGGACGGGGUAUUGAGGUUUAUGGUUUUGGUGCCCAUACCGGACGGGGUAUGGGGAUGACCCUGGAAUUAAGUUAUUAAUGUGAAUGGUUCACGUGUAGCGGGACCCCUUAUGGAUCCCCAUGGAUACUAGUAGGCUGAUAAAAGAGGAAAUUUAUUGCCUGAUGAUUGAAAUACAA